GAAACACGGACCUAGGAGUCUAGCAUGUGCGCGAGUCAUUGGGAAUUACUAAACCUAAAGGCGCAAUGAAAGUGAAGGUUCGCCUUGCGCGAACCGAGGGAAGAUGGGCGUGCCGUGUUUACCGCGGCCGCUCCGCACUCCCGGGGCGUCUCGUUCUCAUUGCGAGAAGAGGCGCACCAAGAGCGUACACGCUGGGACCCGAAAGAUGGUGAACUAUGCCUGGUCAGGACGAAGUCAGGGGAAACCCUGAUGGAGGUCCGUAGCGAUUCUGACGUGCAAAUCGAUCGUCGGAACUGGGUAUAGGGGCGAAAGACUAAUCGAACCAUCUAGUAGCUGGUUCCCUCCGAAGUUUCCCUCAGGAUAGCUGGCGCUCGUCGCCUACGAGUCUCAUCCGGUAAAGCGAAUGAUUAGAGGCAUUGGGGUCGAAACGGCCUCAACCUAUUCUCAAACUUUAAAUGGGUGAGAUCUCCGGCUUGCUCGAACUACUGAAGCCGCGAGACACGGAUCAGAGUGCCAAGUGGGCCAUUUUUGGUAAGCAGAACUGGCGCUGUGGGAUGAACCAAACGCCGAGUUAAAGCGCCUAAAUCGACGCUUAUGGGAUACCAUGAAAGGCGUUGGUAACUUAAGACAGCAGGACGGUGGCCAUGGAAGUCGGAAUCCG
Molecule: ribosomal RNA, 661 nt
Filed under: Phymatophaea opilioides
Lineage: Eukaryota; Metazoa; Arthropoda; Insecta; Coleoptera; Cleridae
Description: partial 28S large subunit ribosomal RNA
Rfam family: Eukaryotic large subunit ribosomal RNA
Source: RNAcentral